GAAGGCGGUUCGUGGAUUCGGAUCGUGGGCUCGUGGAUUCGAGUGGCGUCGUGGAUUCAGCGUGAUUAAAGCUUUGUGGAUUCGAAGUGGAGGCGUUCGUGGAUUCGAACGUGAGGGCGUGGACAACCUGGAGGAUUGCGCGAGAUUCAUAGGAUGUUAAGAGAGGUUGAGUCCGUGGAAUCGGUAAUCACCUUGUAAUCUUUUCUCUUAGUGAAUUAUUUUUUCGCGUGUUGGUCCCGUGGGUUUUUCUCCAAGUUGGAGUUUUCCCACGUAAAU
Molecule: long non-coding RNA, 276 nt
Filed under: Ananas comosus (pineapple)
Lineage: Eukaryota; Viridiplantae; Streptophyta; Magnoliopsida; Poales; Bromeliaceae
Description: long non-coding RNA (ACOM_LNC023198)
Source: RNAcentral